GGAGUAAGUGAGAAGGUCGCUGGCUUGUCGCAAGACAGGCGAGAGGAAAGUCCGGGCUUUACAGGGCAGGAUGCUGGCUAACGGCCAGUCAGGGUAACUUGCAGGAAAGUGCCACAGAAAACAGACCGCCAGCCUCGGCUGGUAAGGGUGAAACGGUGCGGUAAGAGCGCACCGGAAUGCUGGUGACAGCGUUCGCACGGAAAACCCCAUCCAAAGCAAGACCGCAUAGAGAGUGAAGCAAUUCCGAGGCGGCCCGUUUCGCUCCGCAAGGAGGCUCUCAGGUAGGUCGCUUGAACCCACUCGCAAGAGCGGGUCUAGAUGAAUGGCCUUCGCGUCCUUCGGGACGAACAGAACCCGGCUUACGGCUCACUUCGACG
RNAcentral lists this RNase P RNA (377 nucleotides) under Myxococcales bacterium. RNAcentral describes it as "RNase P RNA component class A". It matches the Rfam family "Bacterial RNase P class A". From Rfam's summary of the family: Ribonuclease P (RNase P) is a ubiquitous endoribonuclease, found in archaea, bacteria and eukarya as well as chloroplasts and mitochondria. Lineage: Bacteria; Pseudomonadati; Myxococcota; Myxococcia; Myxococcales. The record is from RNAcentral.